Molecule: unclassified non-coding RNA, 445 nt
Filed under: Hevea brasiliensis (rubber tree)
Lineage: Eukaryota; Viridiplantae; Streptophyta; Magnoliopsida; Malpighiales; Euphorbiaceae
Source: RNAcentral
UCUCUCUCUCUCUCUUUCUCUCUAAUAACUCUAACAGCAUACUUGCAAGAAACCUCUCCGGUUGCAAUAUUGCCGCAUGCUUAUAUUGUAGUGGUCGUUGAUUAGAAAAAUUCUACAUUGAUUGAUGAAUAUUGACGAGGACAUGAUGGCCAGUACUGAGUCAUAUCGCCCAACAUCCACCGGAGAAACGUACUCAGUGUCUCCACCACGGCAAAUGGAUCUGACUGAAUCUAGCUCACCUGAGGAUUUUCAAGUAUAUGAACCCAGGAAAUUUACAUUUGAAGAACUAGCAAUUGCAACUCGUCAUUUCUCCAACAACGAACUCCUUGGCGUUGGUGAUUUUGGUGAUGUCUAUAAGGGAUACCUUCCAAGUGGGGACGUCAUUGCUAUUAAGAAACUUAAAUAUAAGCAGAAAGGACGACAGGAAGAAGAAUUCAAGAAUCAG